GCUCUUCUCCAGAAGCGGGGCUUCCUCCUUUGGACAUGCUCGGAAGAUGCUCCUGAGGGAAAAGGUCCGCGAGAUGUUUUACCAUGCUUAUGACAAAUACAUGGCUCAUGCUUUUCCGCAUGAUGAGUUAAAGCCUCUUACCAAUACUUACACCGACUCCCUUAGCGAGCUUGGAAAUCUAAAUCUUGAACACCUGCCACAGUAUUAUAAUGGAUCUGCCUUGACGCUUAUUGAAUCAUUAUCUAGGUAUACUUCCUGAGCUCUUCACCUCGUUUGACUUGCAGAAA
Long non-coding RNA from Ananas comosus (pineapple), 287 nucleotides. RefSeq lists it as uncharacterized. The transcript has 4 exons. NCBI's taxonomy places the organism in Eukaryota, Viridiplantae, Streptophyta, Magnoliopsida, Poales, Bromeliaceae. The record is from RefSeq and is a predicted model, not a curated record.